UGAUAGCCUCGCAGGGCUGGUCGCGCCCCUUCUCCGGGGCCAGGGAAUCCGGUGCGAAUCCGGAACUGACGCGCAGCGGUGAGGGGGACGGGCGGGGCAGGCACGCCACUGGGAGACCGGGAAGGCGCCCCGCCGGGACGAACCCGAGUCCGAAGACCUGCCGGCACCUCCGCGCCCCG
Molecule: non-coding RNA, 179 nt
Filed under: Streptomyces sp.
Lineage: Bacteria; Bacillati; Actinomycetota; Actinomycetes; Kitasatosporales; Streptomycetaceae
Also listed under: 1 other name
Source: RNAcentral